GUCUGAUUUUUCUCUAUUGAUUCAAAUCAAAAUUUUUCUGAGGUGGACUUGACCUUUAAUUAAAUGAAUUAAAAUUUGCCUGUACCUCCCUGUACAUCUAAGUCCCAACGUUAACAUGUUUUUCCCAGUAUUUCCCACCUAGGCGGGAACUUUACUGGGAAAUCGCCAACCCUGCCAGAUGGAAUAAAUCGUCCAAACUGACAACUGUUCAUUUUCAAAAGAAACUUAUGACACUGACAGUAUUGAGGCAAAUGCCAGGUAAAAUACAUGUAGUUACAAAUUUUUGAAAUCCUCAAAUUGCUGAUUAUGAAUAUCUGAUCAACAUGUAGGUGCACUUCCACAUAUUUACCAUGUUAAUCAAGUUGAGAGCUUGGAAAUAUUUUUUUGUGCAAAGACUUAUUUAACAUAGAACAGAUUUUUGUAAUCUACAUGACUACCAUUUAUUCUUGAAAUAUGAAAAGCCUUGUCCAUUUUCCCUCAAACAUUCAAAAUAUUCUUGUUAUUUUCACUGUUUCUGUUCACUUUAAAGUGCAUACAUUCAGUUUUUUGUUGUUGUUUGUUUGGAGGGGGUAAAUAUGCUUGGCUAGGACUAUAAUAAUCCUUAUCUUAUCUGAAAAUAUAAAUAAAUAGUUGAAAUAUUACUUUUUUGUAAUCAGAUAAACAGAGUGAAGAAUAAAAUUUCUACAUUAAAAUUGUAGUUUUGUCUCAUUUUCAAGAUUACACAACACUUUUUAUAUUAAUGUACUUUUAAACAAUUCUCUAUUUUAAAAAAAUCCUGAAUGUGAGAAAGAAGGCUAAACGUACAUAAAUAUUAAAUAUAACAGACACAUGAUGAACAGAAAUACAAUGCACUUCCGUCUUUCAAUGAUAGUGAUGCACUGACACUACAGAUGCAAGCACAUUUAUCAACUCCCUUUGCCCCUCAUAUUUUGACAAUAUUUGUGAAAAUGAAUAUAUUACUAAGUGAUUCCAGUGGUAUUAGAAGUUCAUACAUUACAAUUGAAUACCAACUGGUGAAAACAAACUGAUUCAUAGUCCAUCCAAAACUGCAAAUAUUACACAAAAAUUAUAUUUUAUUGUAGAAUAAAAGGGGGUUGAAAUAAUUUUGCAUGCAACUAGACCAAUCUUAAAACACCAAUAGCACUGUAAUUUUUACCAUAGGAGGGAAUUUCGUGAGAUUUUUUUUUUUCAAUUUAGUGGAGCGGGGGACAAGACAACCAUCUCUUUUAGGCUCCUGUAAUAUCUCGGGGAAGAAAUGCCUUUCCCCGUCCCCCUUUCCCUGUCAUAGUCAUACAAAAGUGGACACCAAGCUCAUUCAAGGACUUCAAAGUGUCCACACACUAAACAAUGCCUCAAAUAUUUAAUUACCAUCAUCAUCAUUAUCAUCAUCAUCAUCAUCAUCAUCACCAUUAUCAUUACAUGUAUCAUCAUCACCAUCAUCAUCAUCAUCAUCAACAACAACAAGACAGACUGACCCCAUGACCAUGCAGAGUGGGGUCAACAGGGGUCAUUGACACAAAGCUUAGCAAUGAUCAUAGAACAAUUUAUGAUUGAUCACAAUGACCAUAUUGUAUAAUCACUCAUAAAAUUCAAUAGUAUGAUUAACUGCUAAGCUAUGUGUUGUGGAACCCAUGUCUAAAACAGGUUUAACUGAUCAAGUUGGUAGAUUGCAGUGUGGAAACUUAAUAUCAGAUCAUGGUUUACAUUAGAGCCCGGUGCACACUACACAAUUCGUUGCGAUCCAAUUUUCAACAAAAAUUGUAGUAGUAUUCAAUAUGAACAUUUGAACCGGUAAAUAUUGACCAAAUACUGCUAUGAAUAAUGAAAUAAGAAAUUCUAGUCUUUUCAAGCAUCCCAGAAGGAAUAAUUACACUUUAUUACUCUUAGAAACUUAAAGUAUUAAGCACUGUAAAUGUAACUAUUAUAAUUAUUAUAAAAGUGCAAAUUCAAGUCCAAAUCAUAAUGACCUAGAAGUCAAUUUGGACUUUAUUCUGACCACAAGUCUUGCAGCAAAGUGGAAUCUUGAUUUUAGUAUUCUUAGCAAUAUGCCAAACUUCAUUUAAAUAUUACCUCUCUGCACUUUUUGCAGUUAAUGUGAAAUGCGAUUUGUUUAAAAUUUGCAUCUUAUCAGAACGUGUAGUGUGCGCAAGGCGUACAUGUAACUUCCCAUGUUCAGGCCAAGGCAUGAUGCCUAGCACCAAAUGGCAUAAAUCCCAGGCUAAUCUUAAUCCUAAUCUUAGGCUAAUCUUGCCUUAUCCUCUCUGUUGCUGUUCUCCUCCGCUUGAUACCAAGACAAAUAGAACCACCGGAACAAUGUACAUCCA
Long non-coding RNA from Lytechinus variegatus (green sea urchin), 2324 nucleotides. RefSeq lists it as uncharacterized. Lineage: Eukaryota; Metazoa; Echinodermata; Echinoidea; Temnopleuroida; Toxopneustidae. The transcript is spliced from 2 exons. The record is from RefSeq and is a predicted model, not a curated record.